UAAUUGCAGGUAGACUUCGCCCGGACUCCUACGGGAGCCAGAUCUCGUCGCCGACUCCGGCUGCGGGAAGACUCCAUCCGGACUCCCACGGGAGCCAGACCUCAUCUCCGACUUCUGCUGAAGGGAGACUUUGUCUGGACUCAUAUGGGAGCUAGACUCCGAGCUCCUCUCAGAUGGGUAGCUAGCCACCUCUCUCCACCAGACACUCCAGCCGAACUUCGGCCGACAGGCCUGGACCCUC
Molecule: long non-coding RNA, 241 nt
Filed under: Elaeis guineensis (African oil palm)
Lineage: Eukaryota; Viridiplantae; Streptophyta; Magnoliopsida; Arecales; Arecaceae
Description: long non-coding RNA (EGUI_LNC057984)
Source: RNAcentral